AAGAGAGUCCUCUUAACAAUUGGUCUUCUAAUCAUAGUAGGAUCCAAACACUGCUUUCUCAUGGGACUCUAUCGGAUAAGGAUACCCAUAUAGUUAAAUCCUACUAGCAAAGCACCAUACACCUCUAUAAAUACAGAACAUUGAGCCAUUAUUCAGGUGCGUUUUCAUUAUUCUCCAGUUUAUAACCUCACGUAUAUAAUUCCCUUUCUAACUUAAGUAUCGGAGGGGCGACGAGAACAUACCUCGUUAUCUUUGUUUCAGGUACCGGAAUACUACGAUCGUGCUCAAUCAAAACCAUCAAGCUCGAGAAAUCAACAGGUACGAUUUUUGGCAGCAUCACCAUCCUCCCCCGAUGAUGUGAGUAUUCACUACGGAUUUACCUUGUACACGAAGCAGCCUUCUACCUGAUUUCUAUAAUUCUCUUGCAUUAACACUGCAGUUUUUUAUUUUCAAAUACAAUCUCACCAAUCAAUAAUGGAUACGUUGACUCAAGUGGUCAAGUAAUUAAUCUCACCAAUCUCGACAAAAUUCAAAGCACGAUCAGUCAUUUCAAAAUUCACUUUAUGCGAAGUUCUUAAAAUGACAAUCAGUACAGAGUAAAGAGAAGAGGAAAAAAUAUGCGUGUGCGAGCAUCGUGCUUUAGGUGUUAAUAGAGGGGUAAAAAGAUUGUGAAGGCCUUUUAUUUUAGUUGUAGAUAGAGGGAAAACAGUGAAUGAAAGAUGAGAACGAAUGGUAAUUAUGAGUGGUGAUUAAAGGAUGAGCAAUUAAUGGAUGAUGAGGAUGGUCGAUAAUUGGAGAGCGAAUGGUCACUGAAGGAUUGUGCUUGAUGAUGUGGAUUAGCCAUUGUUGCGCGAUGAGCCCUCGUUUUUCCUAAGCCAAAUCGUUGUUGGGUAAUUGUCUUAACCUCUUGACGAAUUCAUUUCAUUGAAAUACCAAUUGGGUGAGGUUUCUAUGAUGUAUGGGUGGAGUUUGAAGGUUUUAGACAUGGAGGUGGUAAAAAGAGUGUGCGAUACAGCUGGGAGGCGAGAAUUCAGUUCACUGAAAUUAUUUCUAGGGCCAAACAGCGGGCGCCAAAUUAUAUAUGGUAGGUUCCUACAAUUGAGAAGAGCGGAAUGAUAGACAGUGAAUAAUAAUAUCAAACUUCGAAAGAAACAACCAUUAAAGAUUCUCAGGAAGACACUGACAAAGUGCUGAAUAUUGACCCUCUAACGAUCAAAUUAGCAAUAUAUAUAUAUAUAUAUAUAUAUAUAUAGAGAGAGAGAGAGAGAGAGAGAGAGAGAGAGAGAGAGUGUGAUGUAAGAGAGAAUAGAAGUUAUGUUUGAUCGUAAAUUACCUUAGAAGACUGGAUAUAUUUAUUGGAACGUGGUCGUAAUUCUCUUAGAUGAUUGUAGUGACAAUUCUUCGAAGUUCACAAUUGUUUGAGGAUAAGGAUGAUAUUGUUGGAGCAUCCUCUAUUUCCUUUUGCCAAAAACGUAUUUUAGAAAAGUGAUGGAAGAUAAAUACGUAGUUAAAAUUUUUUUUUUUAAAUUUGCGUGUAAAUAAUGAAGACAAAAAAAUAUAUUUUGAAAAUAAUAAAAACCAAACAAGAGCUAUAUAUGUUCCACUGGGAUGAUCCGACCAUUUGACGGCAACUUGAACUUAGUCAAGUUUAGUAAAAUACGAUUUGAUUGACCCUUGGUGAUCAAAUUUUAUUUGUAUUGUGUAUUCAGAGGAAAAUUAGAAGGAUUGACUAGAUUAUCUUACGUGUAUCUUUGACUCGGUCGAAAUCUCAUAUGACGAAGUCUUGAUGCUUGGGAGUUGACCCAUUACGCAUGCAUCCGAAGACCUUUUAUUUAUUUAUUUAUUUAUUUUGCGUUAGGGUUAGGCUAGAAGUGUGCAUUCAUUUAGCAACUUACAAGCCUAGUCACGCGUUUUGAGCCUAUUGGGCCAAUUUUUGCCGACGGCACUCCUAACUCGUCAAAUUAAGCCAAAUUAAACAAAAUUUAUUCCCACCCUUCAUCUUUAUUGUCAUCUUUCUCAAUCCGCCUUGCACAGAAAACCCAUCCAUUCUCCUAAUUUCCUGUCAUUUCACGUUCCCCAUCCUCCUUGAAAGCGUUGAGAAAAAGUUGUCUUGUCAUGUUAAUCUUACUGCUUUGUGAAGUAAAAAAAUAAACAAAUAAAUGAUAGCAAUGCUAGCUUUAUAAUCAAUGCGAAAUUACUCUUUGCUCGUAAAUUAAGGGUCUGUUUGAUUACGAAGAUGAAAUUUGGGUGGAAAGAAAAUGAAUUCCAAAUAAUUGAAUUACCUAGAAAUUGUUUUCCUAAGAAUUGUAAAUUAUUGUGUUUGAUUCGUAUAAUUUUCCACGUGAAAAAUGUUGAAGUAAAAGUAUAUUUUGAUGUUCGUUUGACUUUGUUUUACAUGAAAAUUGUCAAUUUAAGAGAUAUCCACUUCUACCAUUGUUCCUAGAAUUUGUUUCCAUUGCCAACCAAAAAUAAAAGGAAAAAAAAAUCAAAAAAUCAUCUAUAUUUUGGUGUUCGUUUGACUUUGUUUUACAUGAAAAUUGUCAAUUUCAGGGAUAUCCACUUUUACAAUUGUUCCUAAAAUUUGUUCCCAUUGUCAACAAUUAAAAAAAAUGGUGGAAAACCAAAAACCACCUACUCCUAGAAAAGUAAAAGGUGGAAAAUCACGUUUUAAGGUGUUGUACCUAGAAAUUCAUGGAAAAUUAAUUCCCUCGAAAAUUUUGUCAAUUAAACAGGCCAAAAGUGGAAGUUAGAAUUUGAAUUCCAAAUUCCAUGAAAAAUUUCGUGCAAUCAAACGGGGCCUAAAUGAUUUCCUGUAAGCCAAUCUUUGUAUGAACAAUUAUGCUGGUCUGUCGCCCCCUGGGGCAUAGCUUAGUGGUGCAAAGGACAGGAGUGAGGUUAGCUCACGUCUUGCUGACAGCCGCAGUGUGGGGGUUCGAUUCUUGAAACAUGAAAUUGGAUUCCUUGUAGGCGUAGUGUACAGACAGCUCUUAUUCCCUGAUCUAUUGGAACACAUCCUGCAAUUUACCUCCCUCACAAAACUCUAGGGACGGGGCGGUGGGGGCCCUCAAGAUUAGGGUUCAACCUUUUUUCUAAUUAUGCUGGUCUGUUAAGUUUUGCAGACAGGGUUUGGGGACAGAUUCUGUCCUAUUAAAUUUAUUUAUUUAUUUUUUCAAGCUUCCCAUUCAGAUGUUGACACACAUUGUUUGGAUUGAGGGAUAGAAUCCCUAUUUUUGUAGCACAAUUGUUGUAUGAAUUCUUAAUGUUGAAUCUUGAUCAAAUUAUGCUUUUUUUCCUUCUUAUUUUCCCACUUUGUCUUGACCACUCUCGAGAUGGGUCAAGACACUAUCCAUAAAUAUCUAAUGACAAGUGAAAAGGGCAAAAUAAUUUUCAAUGUCUUCCCCAUUCACCAGAUACCAUGCAAAGCUUGUAACAUUUUACUGGACAGUAAAGAUAGAAGUAAAUCAAUUCAUUUCUCUACUUGUCCAAUGAUACAAGUCAUUCUUUCUCAUUACUUCGUGUCUCAUUUUCUCUUUUUAUUGGCGUUACUAUAGUGGGAUUUCAUACAAAUGGACUAAAUUGGCUUCGAAUCCCACCUUCUAGUGAAAAUAAUGUCAAUUUACGUGACAAAAUGAAAAUUGAAAUUUUUGAUUGAUUAAAGGAGUUUAUUACACAAGAAUGAUGACGUCCAUCAAUCAUUAACCGCGAGAACUCUUCUAACAAGCUUACUGCACAAAAACAAUUAUCAACAAAGAGUCCACCCAUGAUUAAGCACCGCGAGAACUCUUCUAACAAGCCUAUUGAUAAAUGCGUUUUAUACAUUUAUUUAGGCCACAAAACAUAGAUAAUUAUUGGUAGAUAUGUUGAAAUAUGUCUUAAUUCUAUAUAAGUUAUGUUUUACAAGACAACAUUAAUGAAUAUGGUGAAAUUUAGGAAAAACAAGCGAAAAAGGAUCAAAAUGGAGGAAACCUAAAGUUCAGGGACCAAAAUGCAAAUAGCUGAAAGAAGACCCAGAAGAAGAAACAAAGAUGUGAAAGAGUCAAAGAUCAAUUUAGUGAAAACAUUAAGUGUUGGAAGAAGAAAAAAAUGAGAAAACAAGUCAAGAAACAAAAAAAAGGGAGUUGGGAGACUAAAAUAAAAUUCUUGGAAUUUAAGUUACACCAUGUGGUCGCAUAGUGCACUUUACCAUGCAAUCGCAUAGUGACCUUCAGAUAGUUUCAGGGCCAAGUUCCAUUGACUUAUGCUAUGCAAUAGCAUAGUACAAUUUUGACGGAAAAACUUUAAUUUCCUUAUAUAACUAAAAUUCUUAUGAAAACAAAUUUUGAGACGUCUUUACAGACCUGGGUUUGUCCAUAAGUAGGGGAGGACGUAUCAUAACACAUUUAUAUAGGUUUUAGAGCAUAGAAGGAGGCAAGAAACGUGAUUGAUUCCAAGACCCAAAGAUUCAAUUCAAGAUUUAAAUUGGGUGAUGUUGAUUUUAGUUCUCUUGUUUUAUUCUUCCUAACAUGUCAAGCUAAAUUUAUUUGUGCUAGAAAAUGGAUCAACCAUGCAAUAUAAAUUUUUAAUUUUUAAUUUUAUAUAUUUGACAUCAAAAACACAUUUUUGGACAUUGACUUAUUUUAUGCAUUCAAAAAAAAGGAAAUGGGCUCGACAUAGUAUAAAUCGUCAUAGGAUCCUACAUGGGAUAUAAAUAUGCCACUAUAUCUUAUAUGUUUCUCUAAGUGUUCAUAAAAAUUCAUGCAUUCUUAUAUGUUUACGUCCGUAAUAGAAAAUAUAGUCGGACUAUGUAUGAGAAUAUGUUUAACAUUACACAAGAGAGAUUGGUGAAUAAAAUAGGAACAUUAAUUCAUCAAAAAUCAACCGUGCUGUCAAGGUGUAGAAUUAAGGUCAAAAAGAAUUAUUGCAUUGGAAUUCGAAAUCCUAAUACAUUUAUAGUUCAUUAUAACACAUCAACUUUCAUUAAGGCCCUGUUUGAUAGCAUGGAAAAUCAAUGGGAAAUGGAAAUAGAAUUCCACUUUUCAACUUUAACAAUGUUUGAUGGCAAAGUUUUUCCUUGAAAAUAAUUUUCCCACUCCUCCCCUCACGCGCCUGAUUUCAAGCUUUUUAAGGAAUUCUAAUUCCUACAGGUUAGGUGAGAAUUUGUUUUCCAGGUUCUUUUUUUUUUUAAAUUAAUUUUUUUUUGUUAAUGAAAAUAAAUUCUAUUUCUAAUUGUAAAAAAAUAUUUUUCUUUAAAUGGCAAUUUCAAUGUAAAACAAAGUCAAACAAAUACCAAAAAAUAGAUAAUUUUUUUUAUUUUUUGGCAAUGGAAACAAAUUUCAUCCUCAAUACCAUUAAAUUUUAUUUCUUUAAUUGAUAAUUUUCAUGUAAAAUAAAGUCAAACGAACAUCAAAAAUCACUUUUAUUUCAACAUUUUCCACAUGGAAAAUUAUACCAAUCAAACACAAUAAUUUACAAUUCUCAUGAAAAUAAUUUCUAGGUAAUUCAGUUUCUUGGAAUUCGUUUUCAAUUCAAUUCAAUUUCAUAUUUGCAAUCAAACGGACCCUAAGUAUAACUUACAUUUAGUUUGAUUAAUUCAUUCAUAAUUGCAUACUUAACUUACUUUAAUUAUAAUUUCAUUACAACAAAUACAUAUUGUUAUUCUUGUUUUCGGUUAAGGUCAUGAUAAUAAAAAUUAAACUAAAUUAAUCCUCGUGGAACGAUACUUGGACACACAUCCACUUUAUUACUUGUUAACGAACCGUACACUUGCGGAAGUUUAAAUCGAAAUAUAUUUUCGUGAACAAUAUUUUGGUGCCGUUGUCGAGGAUUAAUUUCUAGUUUAAUUUUAUAUAUCUUGACACUAACUUGGACUUCUACCUAUAUUUUUGUAUUGUUAUUUUUGUUCCAUUUUAGUUUUUGUUUCCUUCCUUUUCCAGGAUAUAUGAAAAUUUAAAAAUAGCAAGACAAAAGAUAGUUGUGGUUAAUUUCAACAAGAUGCUCAUAUGUGACUUCAUCAUAAGGCAACAAUUGGCAGCUUAAGAAAUUGACGAGUGGGAUUUGCUUGUAGGAGAUUUCAUUAUAGGACAAUGACUAUGAGAUAUAAAAGUAGAAUGUGAACUUGAUGAAAGUGUCCUGGGUGACUUAUCUAUUGCAUUAUUACUCUCACCACGAUUUGAUGUAGGUGAUUUACUUAUGGGAUUAUUUCCUCCACCGAUUAUUAAUGAACAUUAAUUAAGAGAUACAACAAGAGGAGAAGAUUCUCCAUGAAAAUGUUAUUAUUUGUUUGCCAAAGUUUUGAAUACAGACGUUGAACUCAAGAAAACUUCAAUUAAAGAAGAUGAUCAUCAAAAGAUCAAGAAAUUAUUCAUAACGGGCAAAAAAGAAUUUAUAGCAUUCAAAGAAGAAGAAAUUAGCAUGCAAUCCCUCUAUUUUAUCGUUUGCCCAAAAAUUUAUUUUGUGAGUAAACCUUAUGAGGAGAUUGAGGUUUAUAUUGUUGAGUUCGAAACGAGUGAUAGGGGGAAGUCAUACUACUUGGGGAAGUGUAAGUUAAAUUUUGGAACAAAGUCAUAAUGAGGAAGCUAAGCAGGACCUCGAAAGUCAUAUUCAAAGUGUCAUAACACACUUGUGCUAAAAGUCAAGCUUUAGACUUUAAAUCAAACGCUUAAUGGGAGACAACCCAUUUUUUUUUUUUUUAUCACUUUUCACUUAUUUUGAUUAGCUAUUGCAUUACACAUAUUUUAAGGGAUUGCAUUAGUAUUUUUGGGUUAGGUUUAGGAACUCAUGUAUUUGAUAUUUUUAACACAUAUUAUGUAUUUUAAGACUUGCAUUAAUAACUUAGACAUGUUAUUGAAUUCAUUUUAUUUAUGCUUAUCGUUAGCAUCCUAGUAUUACAUUGAGCUUGCAUUGAUGCAAUAUGCAUUUUUGAGGUUGCACAUAGAUUUCAAUCUUCUUAUUGUUAGAAGAUUAAAAUCCUUUUUAGAAGAUCAAAAUCCUUUUUGGUGUGAAUACAUUAUAAAUAUUUAAACCUUAUUUGCUAUCAUUAAUAUUUAUUUUGAAUUCUUAAAACAGAUAAUUGAAGCCUAGCAACAAAGAAAAGUGGUUGUUGUCAUGACAUUUACCAACCGAACCAGCCAGAUCCUUCUAUCCAUUCGCAUCUAUGUGGGAGUUUUUAAUCCUUGCUAAUUUAUUUUGAUUAUUUUUGCUUUUACAUCAAGGAUCGUGUUUUGUAUAAGUUCGGGGGAGGUAGAAUUUUAAUGACACUGACAUUCAUCAAUAUUUUUGUAUAAUUUACUACUUUUGUGUAAUUGUUCAUGUGAAAAAAAAAAUUAGUUUUUUUUUCCUUAUUUUCUAGUAUUUAUUUAUUGUUUUGCAUGCUUGUAUGGGUUUAAUGGCGUUGACGACAAUGAUGUUGAAUGUUGAAAUAAGUAUGGAGUAGGAAUAGUGGAAAUAGUGCAUGAUUAUAUUAGCCAAUGCUUGUUUAUGUGAAACUUGACAUUUUCUAUGCACAACACUCACGUUUUACAUGUUGAGUUAGCGAUUUGGUUCAUCAAUUAGAAAAGAGUUGAACGGAGUAGGUUAAACCCGAAAAACCUCUAUUAUAAUUAUCAAUAAUCCACUGUUAUGGUAGUUUGGAGAUUGUUGAACUGUUACAGAGAAACAUUGAGAUGAAUAGGGACUCAAUGCAUGAAACUAUCUUGUGUGGAUUGUCUAAAAUCAAUGAGACGAAAUUGAGAUGAAAGGCUUAAGUUAAACGUUGAUUUUGGAAACUAAAUGUCUAAGAGAAAAGGGAUAUAAUAUUAAUAUGUGCAAAUAACACUUUUCUCAAAGCCUUUAUGACUCAAGCAAGUAAGAUUGUAAGAGUAUUUGAAAAUUUGGUGACCUAAAAGGAGUCAUUGGCCUAAUGCUCGCUAAAAGGGUCAUAUAGAAAGCAAAAGGGAGAGAAAUUGAUAAAAGUCAUCUUCUCGAACCUUUAUAACUCGAACGAAUAAGUCUAUAAGGGUAUUUGAAAACCUGAUGCUCUAAAGUCAACUAAUUUGAGAGUCAUUGGUCUAAAACUCGAUACAUAGGUUAUAUAAAAAGCAAAUGAGAAGAUGUAAGAAAAAAGGAGAAAGAAAACAAGAAUAAGUGAUGAAAGACACAAUUGCAGUGAUUAAACCCCCAAAAAUUUGGUUGAUAGAACUAUACAUUUAAUGCAAGGCAAGUAGCUUAGUUUAAUUUUAAAUGUUAGAGGAAUAAAAAGUAGAAGAAUCUCUACUUGUCGAAUUGUGAACUUGUGAUAGCAAGAUCUAUCCAAACUAAGAAGGGUUAAAAAUUAGAAUUAACUAAACUUCAAAUUUAAAACACAUCCCGAGAAAAUUGAGUGAAGAAAAGAAAUGAUGACCCGAAAGAAGAAACGAAGAUUUGAAAGAGUCAAAGACCAAUUUAGUGAAAACACGAAGUGUUAGAAGAAGAAAAAAAUGAGAAAAGAGGUUAAAAACGAAGAAACAGAGUUCGAGGACUAAAAUUAAAUUCUUGAAAUUUAAGUUACACUUUGCAGUCGCAUAGUGCACUCUACCAUGGGGUCACAUAGUGAUCUUCAGAGAGUUUUAGGGCCAAGUUUCAUUGAACUAUGCUAUAGCAUUGAUUUGUACUAUAUUAAUUUUGACGAAAACUUUUGGUUUCCUUCUAUGACUAAAAUUCUUGUGGACACAAAUCUUGAGACGUCUUUUAAGACCUAGGGCUGUCCAUAAAUAGGGGAGGAUGCAUCAUAAUACAUUCAUAGACAUUUUAAAGCAUAAAAGAAGGCAAGAAGCACGAGAUUGAUUUAAAGACCCGAAAAUUCAGUUCAAUAUAUAAUUUGAUGAUAUCGAUUCUUCAAUAUUUCUUUUGUUUUAUUCUUCCUAACAUGUUAGGCUUCAUUUAUUUGCGUCAAGAAAAUGAUCAACGAUGUGAUAUAAAUUUCUAAUCUUUAGUUUUACAUAUUUGACAUCAAAAACACGUUUUUGGAUAUUGAAUGAUUUAUAUGAAUUUUUUCUUCACUAUUAUUGUACACGAUAAUUGUUUAAAUGUGAUGACUUAUUUUAUGCAUUUGAAAGAAAGAAAAUAGUCUCAAUGUGAAACAAAUCGUCAUAAGGUGCAAUUGAAAUAGAAAUAUAUAGCUAUGAAUUAUGUGAAUCUUUAAGCUUUCGUAAAAAAAUUCAUACAUUCUUGUACGCUCACAUUCAUUGUAGGAAAUGUAAUCAAGUCAUAUAUGAGAAUAGGUUUGAUAUUACUCGAAAAAGAUUGUUGAAUAAAGUGGUAACAUUGAUUCGUCAAAAUUCAGUCUCACUGUUAAGAUGUAGAAUUAAAGUUAAAAAAUGACUAUUGCAUGGGAAUUUGAGAUCCUAGUACAUGUUUUUCAUUAAAACACAUCAACUUUCAUUAAGUAUAAUUUAUAUUUAUUUUGGUUAAUUCAUUCAUAAUUAUAUACUUAACUUACUCCAGUAAUAAUUCAUCACAACAAACACAUAUUGUUAUUCUUGUUUUGAUUAUAGUCACGAUAAUAAAAAUUGAACUAAAUCAAUUCCCAUGGAAUGAUAUUUGAACUCAAGUCCACUUUAUUACUUUUUAACGAAUCGUACACUUAUGGAGGUUUUAAUCAAAAUACACUUUCAUGAACACUUACUGCAUAAAAACAGUUAUCAACAAAGAGUCCAACCAUGAUUCAGCACGAGAACUCUCUUUAACUUGCUUACCCAUCAACACAGAAUCUCCCCAAUGCAAAAGCUUCCUCUAAAGAAGGGAUCAAUCAUUUCUAAGCUCAUUCGUGCAUGGAAACUUUAACAGGCUAAAGGCACAGAACUUCAAGGGAAGAUAACUCACAAUUUCACCGAUGACAAGACAAGACAAAUGUUACCAGGGUUGAAGCCAGACCUUUAGUAUUGUGGGGUCAAAAUUUUAAAAAUAAUUUUUUUAAUAAACAACAUAAUAUCAAUGAAAAUAAAUUUAUAUGUAUUUUGACACUUUG
RNAcentral lists this long non-coding RNA (9961 nucleotides) under Olea europaea subsp. europaea. The record is from RNAcentral. Lineage: Eukaryota; Viridiplantae; Streptophyta; Magnoliopsida; Lamiales; Oleaceae.